RNAcentral lists this ribosomal RNA (709 nucleotides) under Lachnospiraceae bacterium P68. RNAcentral describes it as "bacterial SSU rRNA". It matches the Rfam family "Bacterial small subunit ribosomal RNA", at positions 17 to 725 of the family's 1533-position model. The record is from RNAcentral. Lineage: Bacteria; Bacillati; Bacillota; Clostridia; Lachnospirales; Lachnospiraceae.
UCAUGGCUCAGGAUGAACGCUGGCGGCGUGCUUAACACAUGCAAGUCGAACGAAGCACUUUCUUACGAUCCCUUCGGGGUGACGAGUUUGUGACUGAGUGGCGGACGGGUGAGUAACGCGUGGGUAACCUGCCUUAUACAGGGGGAUAACAGUUGGAAACGGCUGCUAAUACCGCAUAAGCGCACAGUAUCGCAUGAUACAGUGUGAAAAACUCCGGUGGUAUAAGAUGGACCCGCGUCUGAUUAGCUAGUUGGUGAGGUAACGGCUCACCAAGGCGACGAUCAGUAGCCGAUCUGAGAGGAUGAACGGCCACAUUGGGACUGAGACACGGCCCAGACUCCUACGGGAGGCAGCAGUGGGGAAUAUUGCACAAUGGGCGAAAGCCUGAUGCAGCGACGCCGCGUGAGCGAUGAAGUAUUUCGGUAUGUAAAGCUCUAUCAGCAGGGAAGAUAAUGACGGUACCUGACUAAGAAGCACCGGCUAAAUACGUGCCAGCAGCCGCGGUAAUACGUAUGGUGCAAGCGUUAUCCGGAUUUACUGGGUGUAAAGGGAGCGUAGGCGGUCUUGCAAGUCUGAUGUGAAAGCCCGGGGCUCAACCGCGGGAUUGCAUUGGAAACUGUAGGACUUGAGUAUCGGAGAGGUAAGUGGAAUUCCUAGUGUAGCGGUGAAAUGCGUAGAUAUUAGGAGGAACACCAGUGGCGAAGGCGGC